GCUUACGGCCACACCUCCCUGAGCACGCCCGAUCUCGUCUGAUCUCGGAAGCUAAGCAGGGGUCGGCCCGGUUAGUACUUGGAUGGGAGACCAACUGGCAAUACCAGAUGCUGUAAGCC
This 119-nucleotide ribosomal RNA is filed under the name Esox lucius (northern pike). Lineage: Eukaryota; Metazoa; Chordata; Actinopteri; Esociformes; Esocidae. The record is from RNAcentral.